UGUCUGUCCUUUAUAAACGGCGAUUGAAGCGGCAAAAGCUCAAAUUUGAAAUCUGGCACUUUCAGUGUAGAGAAGUAAUUUGAAGAAGGUAUCUUUGGGUCUGGCUCUUGUCUAUGUUUCUUGGAACAGAACGUCACAGAGGGUGAGAAUCCCGUGCGAUGAGAUGUCCCAGACCUAUGUAAAGUUCCUUCGAAGAGUCGAGUUGUUUGGGAAUGCAGCUCUAAGUGGGUGGUAAAUUCCAUCUAAAGCUAAAUAUUGGCGAGAGACCGAUAGCGAACAAGUACAGUGAUGGAAAGAUGAAAAGAACUUUGAAAAGAGAGUGAAAAAGUACGUGAAAUUGUUGAAAGGGAAGGGCUUGAGAUCAGACUUGGUAUUUUGUAUGUUACUCUCUCGGGGGUGGCCUCUACAGUUUACCGGGCCAGCAUCAGUUUGAGCGGUAGGAUAAGUGCAAAGAAAUGUGGCACUGCUUCGGUAGUGUGUUAUAGUCUUUGUCGAUACUGCCAGCUUAGACUGAGGACUGCGGCUUCGGCCUAGGAUGUUGGCAUAAUGAUCUUAAGUCGCCCGUCUUGAAACACGGACCAC
Molecule: ribosomal RNA, 582 nt
Filed under: Lodderomyces parapsilosis
Lineage: Eukaryota; Fungi; Ascomycota; Pichiomycetes; Serinales; Debaryomycetaceae
Description: eukaryotic LSU rRNA
Rfam family: Eukaryotic large subunit ribosomal RNA
Source: RNAcentral